GGCCCCUGCACACCCCCACAGCCCAACUCACAGCCCCUGCCCUUGCUUUUAGGGCUCCACGCUCACUCACUUGUCUUUCCUGGGAAACUCUGAGCUCCUGUCUUUUCCAGGUUCUCCACACCAGCUUCUCCUCUGCCUGUUGGGGAAGACAGGCUCCUGCUUGAAGUCAAAGUGACUGGGAAAGCCCAUCACGCCCCCUCCACUUUCUCCACAUGAACCUAUUGGAUCCAGCAUCAAUGGAUUCAUGGGAAUCAGACCAUAAAUGAGUGAACAGAUGCUGUGACUGGCAGCUGCAGAGACCAGCUGAGCUCUCAAGUCUCUGGGCCAUGGGAGCUUUGCAGUCAUAGUCAUUUGGAUACUGUGACCAGGGAUCUUGCUUAGGAGUCUGUACCCAAAGCACUGAGUGCCCAUCUGCAGCGGAUCCUGGCAAAUGACUCUGGAGUGUUUCACUUAUGAGCAAAAAGAGCAAAGAUGCUCAGUCUUUGAAGAUGGGAAGAAUUAAAACUUCAACUUGGUUCAACGAGAGUCUGUCCUCAGGACUGGGAAAGCCCAUCACGCCCUCUCCACUUUCUCCACAUGAACCUAUUGGAUCCAGCAUCUAUGGAUUCAUGGGAAUCAGACCAUAAAUGAGUGAACAGAUGCUGUGACUGGCAGCUGCAGAGACCAGCUGAGCUCUCAAGUCUCUGGGCCAUGGAGAGGUAUGUGUGAUAUCUAUGUAUUUGCAUAUCCAUAUCCUUCUCCUGAUAACCAGAUGCAAAGACAAAAC
Rhinopithecus roxellana (golden snub-nosed monkey) is the source of this 766-nucleotide long non-coding RNA. RefSeq lists it as uncharacterized. The transcript has 4 exons. Lineage: Eukaryota; Metazoa; Chordata; Mammalia; Primates; Cercopithecidae. The record is from RefSeq and is a predicted model, not a curated record.